Pistacia vera is the source of this 103-nucleotide long non-coding RNA. RefSeq lists it as uncharacterized. The record is from RefSeq and is a predicted model, not a curated record. Lineage: Eukaryota; Viridiplantae; Streptophyta; Magnoliopsida; Sapindales; Anacardiaceae. The transcript has 3 exons.
AAAGUGAUGAGCAAAUGGCUGAAACUGAAGGGAAGUGCGGCAUUGAUAACAAUAACUUCAUGGACAAUAAGAGCAGUGAAGCUAGGGAGACCUUGAUGGCCAU